GUGAAAAUAUUCAACGGCCGCGGUAUCCUAACCGUGCGAAGGUAGCGUAAUCACUUGUUCUUUAAAUGAGGACUAGUAUGAAUGGCACCACGAGGGUUUUACUGUCUUCUUUUUUUAAUCAGUGAAACUAAUCUCCCCGUGAAGAAGCGGGAAUUUAAUUAUAAGACGAGAAGACCCUAUGGAGCUUUAAACAAACAACAUUUGCUGCACAUAACACUUUUACUUUUAAAAAGUAUAGCAUUAUGAUUUUUAGUUUUUGAUUGGGGUGAUCACGGAGCAAAAUGAAACCUCCACGCCGAAAGGGUUGUACCCUGAGCAAAAAGCUACAGCUUUAAGCACUAAGAAAUUAACGCAAUUUGACCCA
This 364-nucleotide ribosomal RNA is filed under the name Boana geographica (map treefrog). Its description in RNAcentral is "partial 16S ribosomal RNA". It matches the Rfam family "Bacterial large subunit ribosomal RNA", at positions 1912 to 2376 of the family's 2925-position model. The record is from RNAcentral. Lineage: Eukaryota; Metazoa; Chordata; Amphibia; Anura; Hylidae.